RNAcentral lists this ribosomal RNA (425 nucleotides) under uncultured prokaryote. RNAcentral describes it as "bacterial SSU rRNA". It matches the Rfam family "Bacterial small subunit ribosomal RNA", at positions 355 to 774 of the family's 1533-position model. The record is from RNAcentral.
UGGGGAAUCAUGGACAAUGGGCGAAAGCCUGAACCUGCGACGCCGCGUGAGUGAUGAAGGUCGUCAGAUCGUAAAACUCUUUUCAGGGAUCUUAACGCCCAGCUGUCAACACCGGCUGUGUCUGACUCUCCCUGGAAGAAGCCCAAGCCAACUACGUGUCACCAGCUGCGGUAAUACGUAGGGGGCGAGCGUUAUUCGGAAUGACUGGGUGUAAAGCGUAUGUAGGCGGUCCUGCAAGGCAGGUGUCAAAGGCCAGUGCUUAACGUUGGGAUUGCGUGUGAUACUGACCGGCUUGAGGGUUGGAGAGGUGAGCGGAAUUCCACGUGUAGUGGUAAAAUACGUAGAGAUCGGGAGGAACACCAGCGGCGCAGGCGGCUCACUAGACAGUUUCUGACGCUAAGAUACGAAAGCGUGGGGAGCAAACA